UACGGAGGGGGCAAGCGUUGUUCGGAAUCAUUGGGCGUAAAGGGCGCGUAGGCGGCCCUGCAAGUCGGACGUGAAAUCCCUCGGCUCAACCGAGGAACCGCGCUCGAUACUGCGAGGCUAGAGUCCGGGAGGGGAUGGUGGAAUUCCCAGUGUAGCGGUGAAAUGCGUAGAUAUUGGGAAGAACACCGGUGGCGAAGGCGGCCAUCUGGACCGGAACUGACGCUGAGGAGCGAAAGCUAGGGGAGCGAAUGGG
RNAcentral lists this ribosomal RNA (253 nucleotides) under uncultured bacterium. RNAcentral describes it as "partial 16S ribosomal RNA". It matches the Rfam family "Bacterial small subunit ribosomal RNA", at positions 524 to 776 of the family's 1533-position model. The record is from RNAcentral.